This 91-nucleotide non-coding RNA is filed under the name Pseudoalteromonas ulvae. Its description in RNAcentral is "c-di-GMP sequence". It matches the Rfam family "c-di-GMP-I riboswitch aptamer". From Rfam's summary of the family: GEMM was predicted in a large-scale screen for bacterial structured RNA regulatory elements. The record is from Rfam by way of RNAcentral. Lineage: Bacteria; Pseudomonadati; Pseudomonadota; Gammaproteobacteria; Alteromonadales; Pseudoalteromonadaceae.
CGCUUAUUUUGGCAAACUACCCGAAAGGUUAGGACGCAAAGCUUCCGGUCUACGGUCUUCUAUUAAAGGCUACGACAGCGGGGUUGCUGCA